This 663-nucleotide long non-coding RNA is filed under the name Brassica napus (rape). RNAcentral's name for it is "long non-coding RNA (BNAP_LNC009772)". The record is from RNAcentral. Lineage: Eukaryota; Viridiplantae; Streptophyta; Magnoliopsida; Brassicales; Brassicaceae.
UCUAACUUAAUCUUAGAGAUCCGUUGAUCUACAAGGCCAUGGACAAGACGACUGAUUUAUUUCUUUGUAUCUGGUAAUUCCACACAUUGCUUUUUUGAUUCUGAUGGAUAAUUAAUGUUAGAGAGUUACAAAACAAGAAAUAUUCUAAAAUAUCAUUGAUCUCGUAACUUUAUCUUUGCUUUCCAGUAUACGCUUUACUUAUUUCUUUUUAGGAUUUUCAUAUGCCUAAAGCAAUGACAUAUAUUUCUUGACAAAAAAAUUGGCAUAUAACUCAACUGAUCUUCAAAAAGAAUCAUACAUAUUCUACUGCAAAAAAAGGUAAAAUGCAUCAUCAUCUAUACAAAAUUUAUAGCAAGCAUUGUUCGUUAUAAACAUUGUAACUGUUACCGCUUCACAUAGUUAAUUUGCAAUGUGUAAGUAGCCAUGAUUACAAAAUAGCCUCACUCUUUUUACUCUAAUUUGCUUCACGAACCGAUCCAAAGAAACAAAUAAUCUUUUUUGCAGACUGAUUUAGCAGUUCCUGGAGGCAAAUAGAUUGAUCUCUCCUAUCCCCUUGUCAAGCAAAAACCUGAGGAGUAGGCGGAAAUUCUGAGAAUACAUUUCCACUGGAAGUAGAGCUAAAAACAAGUGAUUUUUUUUGUGCCACAAGAUCUUACCGGAACC